AACGAGGCCGACCUGCGGCUGAGUUACCUGCGGAAGGAUCAUUACAAGUGACCCCGGUUUACCACCGGGAUGUUCAUAACCCUUUGUUGUCCGACUCUGUUGCCUCCGGGGCGACCCUGCCUUCGGGCGGGGGCUCCGGGUGGACACUUCAAACUCUUGCGUAACUUUGCAGUCUGAGUAAACUUAAUUAAUAAAUUAAAACUUUCAACAAUGGAUCU
Molecule: unclassified non-coding RNA, 218 nt
Filed under: soil metagenome
Description: partial contains 5.8S ribosomal RNA, internal transcribed spacer 2, and large subunit ribosomal RNA
Source: RNAcentral